This 78-nucleotide ribosomal RNA is filed under the name Colletotrichum coccodes. RNAcentral's name for it is "partial 28S ribosomal RNA". The record is from RNAcentral. Lineage: Eukaryota; Fungi; Ascomycota; Sordariomycetes; Glomerellales; Glomerellaceae.
AGGGUUAUAGAGCGGUAACUCAGUAAUGAUCCCUCCGCUGGUUCACCAACGGAGACCUUGUUACGACUUUUACUUCCA